This 275-nucleotide ribosomal RNA is filed under the name uncultured Staphylococcus sp. RNAcentral's name for it is "partial 16S ribosomal RNA". It matches the Rfam family "Bacterial small subunit ribosomal RNA", at positions 89 to 355 of the family's 1533-position model. The record is from RNAcentral. Lineage: Bacteria; Bacillati; Bacillota; Bacilli; Caryophanales; Staphylococcaceae.
ACGUUAGCGGCGGACGGGUGAGUAACACGUGGGUAACCUACCUAUAAGACUGGGAUAACUUCGGGAAACCGGAGCUAAUACCGGAUAAUAUUUCGAACCGCAUGGUUCGAUAGUGAAAGANGGUUUUGCUAUCACUUAUAGAUGGACCCGCGCCGUAUUAGCUAGUUGGUAAGGUAACGGCUUACCAAGGCGACGAUACGUAGCCGACCUGAGAGGGUGAUCGGCCACACUGGAACUGAGACACGGUCCAGACUCCCUACGGGAGGGCAGCAGCC